This 639-nucleotide ribosomal RNA is filed under the name Phyllosticta minima. RNAcentral's name for it is "eukaryotic LSU rRNA". It matches the Rfam family "Eukaryotic large subunit ribosomal RNA", at positions 1 to 654 of the family's 3401-position model. The record is from RNAcentral. Lineage: Eukaryota; Fungi; Ascomycota; Dothideomycetes; Botryosphaeriales; Phyllostictaceae.
UUGACCUCGGAUCAGGUAGGGAUACCCGCUGAACUUAAGCAUAUCAAUAAGCGGAGGAAAAGAAACCAACAGGGAUUGCCUCAGUAACGGCGAGUGAAGCGGCAAUAGCUCAAAUUUGAAAGCUGGCGCCUUCGGCGUCCGCGUUGUAAUUUGUAGAGGAUGCUUCGGCGAGGACUCCUGCCUAAGUCCCCUGGAACGGGGCGUCACAGAGGGUGAGAAUCCCGUACGUGGCGGGCGGUCCGAGCCAUGUGAAGCUCCUUCGACGAGUCGAGUUGUUUGGGAAUGCAGCUCUAAAUGGGAGGUAAAUUUCUUCUAAAGCUAAAUAUUGGCCAGAGACCGAUAGCGCACAAGUAGAGUGAUCGAAAGAUGAAAAGCACUUUGGAAAGAGAGUUAAAAAGUACGUGAAAUUGUUGAAAGGGAAGCGCUUGCAACCAGACUCGCUCGCAGUUGCUCAGCCGGCCUCUUGGCCGGUGUACUCUUCUGCGAUCGGGCCAGCAUCAGUUCGGGCGGCCGGAUAAAGGCAUCGGGAAUGUAGCACCCUUCGGGGUGUGUUAUAGCCCGGCGCGGAAUGCGGCCAGCCUGGACUGAGGAUCUCGCUUCGGCAAGGAUGCUGACGUAAUGGUUGUAAGCGGCCCGUCU